RNAcentral lists this ribosomal RNA (2296 nucleotides) under Acinetobacter indicus. Its description in RNAcentral is "partial 23S ribosomal RNA". It matches the Rfam family "Bacterial large subunit ribosomal RNA", at positions 592 to 2873 of the family's 2925-position model. The record is from RNAcentral. Lineage: Bacteria; Pseudomonadati; Pseudomonadota; Gammaproteobacteria; Moraxellales; Moraxellaceae.
GGUGACUGCGUACCUUUUGUAUAAUGGGUCAGCGACUUACAUUCAGUAGCAAGGUUAACCGCAUAGGGGAGCCGUAGGGAAACCGAGUCUUAAUAGGGCGUAUAGUUGCUGGGUGUAGACCCGAAACCAGGCGAUCUAUCCAUGAGCAGGUUGAAGGUUGGGUAACACUAACUGGAGGACCGAACCCACUGUCGUUGAAAAGCCAGGGGAUGACUUGUGGAUAGGGGUGAAAGGCUAAUCAAGCCUGGUGAUAGCUGGUUCUCCCCGAAAGCUAUUUAGGUAGCGCCUCGGACGAAUACCAUUGGGGGUAGAGCACUGUUUCGGCUAGGGGGUCAUCCCGACUUACCAAACCGAUGCAAACUCCGAAUACCGAUGAGUACUAUCCGGGAGACAGACUGCGGGUGCUAACGUCCGUAGUCAAGAGGAAAACAAUCCAGACCGCCAGCUAAGGCCCCAAAAUCAUAGUUAAGUGGGAAACGAUGUGGGAAGGCAUAGACAGCUAGGAGGUUGGCUUAGAAGCAGCCACCCUUUAAAGAAAGCGUAAUAGCUCACUAGUCGAGUCGGCCUGCGCGGAAGAUGUAACGGGGCUAAAACUAUGUGCCGAAGCUGCGGAUGUAUACAUUGUAUACGUGGUAGGGGAGCGUUCUGUAAGCCGAUGAAGGUGGAUUGAGAAGUCUGCUGGAGGUAUCAGAAGUGCGAAUGCUGACGUGAGUAACGACAAAACGGGUGAAAAACCCGUUCGCUGAAAGACCAAGGGUUCCAGUCCAACGUUAAUCGGGGCUGGGUGAGUCGACCCCUAAGGCGAGGCCGAGAGGCGUAGUCGAUGGGAAAUUGGUUAAUAUUCCAAUACUUCAGUGUAAUGCGAUGAGAGGACGGAGAAGGUUAAGUCAGCCUGGCGUUGGUUGUCCAGGUGGAAGGCUGUAGGCAUGCAUCUUAGGCAAAUCCGGGGUGCUCUAUGCUGAGAGCUGAUAGCAAGCUAGUUUACUAGCGAAGUGGCUGAUACCAUGCUUCCAGGAAAAGUCUCUAAGCUUCAGUUACACUGGAAUCGUACCCGAAACCGACACAGGUGGUCAGGUCGAGUAGACCAAAGCGCUUGAGAGAACUCUGCUGAAGGAACUAGGCAAAAUGGUACCGUAACUUCGGGAGAAGGUACGCUGUUGACGGUGAUGGGACUUGCUCCCUGAGCGGUUGACAGCCGCAGAAACCAGGCCGCUGCAACUGUUUAUUAAAAACAUAGCACUCUGCAAACACGAAAGUGGACGUAUAGGGUGUGAUGCCUGCCCGGUGCUGGAAGGUUAAUUGAUGGGGUUAGCGUAAGCGAAGCUCUUGAUCGAAGCCCCAGUAAACGGCGGCCGUAACUAUAACGGUCCUAAGGUAGCGAAAUUCCUUGUCGGGUAAGUUCCGACCUGCACGAAUGGCAUAAUGAUGGCGGCGCUGUCUCCAGCAGAGGCUCAGUGAAAUCGAAAUCGCUGUGAAGAUGCAGUGUACCCGCGGCUAGACGGAAAGACCCCGUGAACCUUUACUGCAGCUUGACAUUGAACUUUGACCUUACUUGUGUAGGAUAGGUGGGAGGCUUUGAAGUUGGAACGCCAGUUCCAAUGGAGCCGUCCUUGAAAUACCACCCUGGUAAUGUUGAGGUUCUAACUCUGUCCCGUGAUCCGGGACGAGGACCAUGUCUGGUGGGUAGUUUGACUGGGGCGGUCUCCUCCUAAAGAGUAACGGAGGAGUACGAAGGUGCGCUCAGCGUGGUCGGAAAUCACGCGUAGAGUAUAAAGGCAAAAGCGCGCUUAACUGCGAGACCCACAAGUCGAGCAGGUACGAAAGUAGGUCUUAGUGAUCCGGUGGUUCUGUAUGGAAGGGCCAUCGCUCAACGGAUAAAAGGUACUCUGGGGAUAACAGGCUGAUACCGCCCAAGAGUUCAUAUCGACGGCGGUGUUUGGCACCUCGAUGUCGGCUCAUCUCAUCCUGGGGCUGAAGCAGGUCCCAAGGGUAUGGCUGUUCGCCAUUUAAAGAGGUACGCGAGCUGGGUUUAGAACGUCGUGAGACAGUUCGGUCCCUAUCUACCGUGGGCGCUGGAAAUUUGAGAGGAUCUGCUCCUAGUACGAGAGGACCAGAGUGGACGAACCUCUGGUGUACCGGUUGUGACGCCAGUCGCAUCGCCGGGUAGCUAUGUUCGGAAGGGAUAACCGCUGAAAGCAUCUAAGCGGGAAGCCUACCUCAAGAUAAGAUUUCCCUAGGAAUUUAUUCCUCUAAAGAGCCGUUCGAGACUAGGACGUUGAUAGGUUGGGUGUGGAAG